UACGGAGGGUGCAAGCGUUAUCCGGAUUCACUGGGUUUAAAGGGUGCGUAGGUGGGAAUGUAAGUCAGUGGUGAAAUCUCCGUGCUUAACAUGGAGACGCCACCCGAUACUGCUGUGACUCGAGUCCGGUAGGGGAGCGUGGAAUUCCUGGUGUAGCGGUGAAAUGCGCAGAUAUCAGGAGGAACACCAGCGGCGAAGGCGGCGCUCUGGGCCGGAACUGACGCUGAGGAGCGAAAGCGUGGGUAGCAAACAGG
RNAcentral lists this ribosomal RNA (254 nucleotides) under uncultured bacterium. RNAcentral's name for it is "partial 16S ribosomal RNA". It matches the Rfam family "Bacterial small subunit ribosomal RNA", at positions 524 to 776 of the family's 1533-position model. The record is from RNAcentral.